RNAcentral lists this ribosomal RNA (253 nucleotides) under uncultured bacterium. RNAcentral describes it as "partial 16S ribosomal RNA". It matches the Rfam family "Bacterial small subunit ribosomal RNA", at positions 524 to 776 of the family's 1533-position model. The record is from RNAcentral.
UACGUAGGGUGCAAGCGUUAAUCGGAAUUACUGGGCGUAAAGCGUGCGCAGGCGGCUUUGCAAGACAGAUGUGAAAUCCCCGGGCUUAACCUGGGAACUGCAUUUGUGACUGCAUGGCUGGAGUGCGGCAGAGGGGGAUGGAAUUCCGCGUGUAGCAGUGAAAUGCGUAGAUAUGUGGAGGAAUACCGAUGGCGAAGGCAGCCCCCUGGGAUAACACUGACGCUCAUGCACGAAAGCGUGGGGAGCAAACAGG